RNAcentral lists this unclassified non-coding RNA (217 nucleotides) under soil metagenome. Its description in RNAcentral is "partial contains 5.8S ribosomal RNA, internal transcribed spacer 2, and large subunit ribosomal RNA". The record is from RNAcentral.
AACAUCGCGCACCUGCGGGAACCUGCGGAAGGAUCAUUACAGAGUUCAUGCCCUCACGGGUAGAUCUCCCACCCUUGAAUACUAUACCUUUGUUGCUUUGGCGGGCCGCUUUGGCUACUGGCUCUGGCUAGUAAGUGCCCGCCAAAGAACCCCAAAACUCUGAAUAUUAGUGUCGUCUGAGUACUAUAUAAUAGUUAAAACUUUCAACAAUGGAUCU